Molecule: transfer RNA, 68 nt
Filed under: Glossotermes oculatus
Lineage: Eukaryota; Metazoa; Arthropoda; Insecta; Blattodea; Rhinotermitidae
Description: tRNA-Asn
Source: RNAcentral
UUAGCUGAAACCAAAAAGGAGGUAUAUUAUUGUUAAUAAUAAAAUUGAAUGGGCAAAUUCCAGCUAAG